GGGGAAGUAAUUUUCACACCAGAUCUUCCUGAAUGAGGGAGCCCUCGCUUCAGAUAAGAGUCUGACUUUUGAGUUCUGGUCGUGUCCUGGUCUGGUGGUUCCAUGAGGAGGAGGAUCUUUGGUUCUGUGUUCAUUUCAGACAGUGAAGAAGGAGAUGGAUGGUUUUAUUUAUGGCAUAAAUUUACUAUGGAGAGCUCUUCGGAGAGAUGCUGCCUGUUGACGCCGAGGGAGACCACGAGGCGAUGGGACAUGCCAGGGACCAUGGAGAACAGAGGUGCUCUGAAAGCUUGCCUAUUGGUUCUUUUUUAUAUUUUUUUUUACUGACUUGCCCCUUAAAACUAGAGUUGUGUUUCUAAAAGAAACAGAAAGGUGUGAAGACAAGAAUAAAUAAUAAUUCUCUGACCAACUGAUGCUAAUAUAAGACUCCAAAUAAGCCAUAAAAAUGAGGAAAGUUCAUGAGUUUAUUGUAAAAUAAUGUACAUAGUGUACAGAGCCAU
Molecule: long non-coding RNA, 497 nt
Filed under: Equus asinus (donkey)
Lineage: Eukaryota; Metazoa; Chordata; Mammalia; Perissodactyla; Equidae
Description: lncRNA (ENSEASG00005036408.1)
Source: RNAcentral